RNAcentral lists this ribosomal RNA (515 nucleotides) under uncultured bacterium. RNAcentral's name for it is "partial 16S ribosomal RNA". It matches the Rfam family "Bacterial small subunit ribosomal RNA", at positions 28 to 523 of the family's 1533-position model. The record is from RNAcentral.
GAUGAACGCUGGCGGCGUGCCUAAUACAUGCAAGUCGAGCGAAUGGAUUAAGAGCUUGCUCUUAUGAAGUUAGCGGCGGACGGGUGAGUAACACGUGGGUAACCUGCCCAUAAGACUGGGAUAACUCCGGGAAACCGGGGCCACUACCGGAUAACAUUUUGAACCGCAUGGUUUGAAAUUGAAAGGCGGCUUCGGCGGUCAGUUAUGGAUAGACCCGCGUCGCAUUAGCUAGGUGGUGAGGUAACGGCUCACCAAGGCAACGAUGUGUAGACGACCUGAGAGGGUGAUCGGCCACACUGGGACUGAGACACGGCCCAGACUCCUACGGGAGGCAGCAGUAGGGAAUCUUCCGCAAUGGACGAAAGCCUGACGGAGCAACGCCGCGUGAGUGAUGAAGGCUUUCGGGUCGUAAAACUCUGUUGUUAGGGAAGAACAAGUGCUAGUUGAAUAAGCUGGCACCUUGACGGUACCUAACCAGAAAGCCACGGCUAACUACGUGCCAGCAGCCGCCGUAA